GGGGGGACAGGGUGACAGGUGGUGGCAUGGUUGUCGUCAGCUCGUGUCGUGAGAUGUUGGGUUAAGUCCCGCAACGAGCGCAACCCUCGACCUUAGUUGCCAGCAUUCAGUUGGGCACUCUAAGGUGACUGCCGGCUAAAAGUCGGAGGAAGGUGGGGAUGACGUCAAAUCAUCAUGCCCCUUAUGACCUGGGCUACACACGUGCUACAAUGGGCGGUACAAAGGGUCGCGAACCCGCGAGGGGGAGCCAAUCCCAAAAAGCCGCUCUCAGUUCGGAUUGCAGGCUGCAACUCGCCUGCAUGAAGCCGGAAUCGCUAGUAAUCGCGGAUCAGCAUGCCGCGGUGAAUACGUUCCCGGGCCUU
This 362-nucleotide ribosomal RNA is filed under the name uncultured Anoxybacillus sp. RNAcentral describes it as "bacterial SSU rRNA". It matches the Rfam family "Bacterial small subunit ribosomal RNA", at positions 1020 to 1382 of the family's 1533-position model. Lineage: Bacteria; Bacillati; Bacillota; Bacilli; Caryophanales; Anoxybacillaceae. The record is from RNAcentral.